GGGAAUUUGUUUUGGUUGUCGCUGCUAACGAUGAUUAGGAUAUUUGUUUGUCCAAUUCUCU
RNAcentral lists this transfer RNA (61 nucleotides) under Paragonimus skrjabini miyazakii. RNAcentral describes it as "tRNA-Ser". The record is from RNAcentral. Lineage: Eukaryota; Metazoa; Platyhelminthes; Trematoda; Plagiorchiida; Troglotrematidae.